Molecule: long non-coding RNA, 139 nt
Organism: Gossypium arboreum
Lineage: Eukaryota; Viridiplantae; Streptophyta; Magnoliopsida; Malvales; Malvaceae
Exons: 3
Source: RefSeq, a predicted model, not a curated record
AAGCUCAAGAGCAAAGGGGAGCUAAAUCCGAUAAAGGGAAGGAAAAAGUAGUUGAAUAGCCGUCGAAAUCGCUCGACAACAUCCGAGCUUAUACACUUGUGAAAAUUCCAGCAAUGAGGUUUCGCUCGUUAGCUAUCGG